Molecule: ribosomal RNA, 497 nt
Filed under: uncultured bacterium
Lineage: Bacteria
Description: partial 16S ribosomal RNA
Rfam family: Bacterial small subunit ribosomal RNA
Source: RNAcentral
GAUGAACGCUGGCGGCGUGCCUAAUACAUGCAAGUCGAGCGAACGGACGAGAAGCUUGCUUCUCUGAUGUUAGCGGCGGACGGGUGAGUAACACGUGGAUAACCUACCUAUAAGACUGGGAUAACUUCGGGAAACCGGAGCUAAUACCGGAUAAUAUUUUGAACCGCAUGGUUCAAAAGUGAAAGACGGUCUUGCUGUCACUUAUAGAUGGUUCCGCGCUGCAUUAGCUAGUUGGUAAGGUAACGGCUUACCAAGGCAACGAUGCAUAGCCGACCUGAGAGGGUGAUCGGCCACACUGGAACUGAGACACGGUCCAGACUCCUACGGGAGGCAGCAGUAGGGAAUCUUCCGCAAUGGUCGAAAGCCUGACGGAGCAACGCCGCGUGAGUGAUGAAGGUCUUCGGAUCGUAAAACUCUGUUAUUAGGGAAGAACAUAUGUGUAAGUAACUGUGCACAUCUUGACGGUACCUAAUCAGAAAGCCACGGCUAACUACGUG